This 228-nucleotide ribosomal RNA is filed under the name uncultured bacterium. Its description in RNAcentral is "partial 16S ribosomal RNA". It matches the Rfam family "Bacterial small subunit ribosomal RNA", at positions 15 to 236 of the family's 1533-position model. The record is from RNAcentral.
GAUCAUGGCUCAGGAUGAACGCUAGCUACAGGCUUAACACAUGCAAGUCGAGGGGCAGCAUGUUGGUUGCUUGCAACCGAUGAUGGCGACCGGCGCACGGGUGAGUAACGCGUAUCCAACCUACCCUUGUCCAUCGGAUAACCCGUCGAAAGGCGGCCUAACACGAUAUGCGGUUCACCGCAGGCAUCUAACGUGAACGAAAUGUGAAGGAGAAGGAUGGGGAUGCGU